AGAAUGAACGCUGGCGGCAUGCCUAACACAUGCAAGUCGAACGAGACCUUCGGGUCUAGUGGCGCACGGGUGCGUAACGCGUGGGAAUCUGCCCUUGGGUUCGGAAUAACAGUUAGAAAUGACUGCUAAUACCGAAUGAUGUCGUAAGACCAAAGAUUUAUCGCCCAGGGAUGAGCCCGCGUAGGAUUAGCUAGUUGGUGUGGUAAAGGCGCACCAAGGCGACGAUCCUUAGCUGGUCUGAGAGGAUGAUCAGCCACACUGGGACUGAGACACGGCCCAGACUCCUACGGGAGGCAGCAGUGGGGAAUAUUGGACAAUGGGCGAAAGCCUGAUCCAGCAAUGCCGCGUGAGUGAUGAAGGCCUUAGGGUUGUAAGCUCUUUUACCGGGAUGAUAAUGACAGUACCGGGAGAAUAAGCUCCGGCUAACUCCGCGCCAGCAGCCGC
This 444-nucleotide ribosomal RNA is filed under the name uncultured bacterium. Its description in RNAcentral is "SSU rRNA". It matches the Rfam family "Bacterial small subunit ribosomal RNA", at positions 26 to 518 of the family's 1533-position model. The record is from RNAcentral.